GUUCUCACCUCAGCAGCACAUAUACUAAAAUUGGAACGAUACAGAGAAGAUUAGCAUGACCCCUGCACAAGGAUGACAUGCAAAUUCGUGACACAUUCCAUAUUUUU
Cebus imitator (Panamanian white-faced capuchin) is the source of this 107-nucleotide small nuclear RNA. The record is from Ensembl. Lineage: Eukaryota; Metazoa; Chordata; Mammalia; Primates; Cebidae.